AUGUGAAAAUAUUCAAAAUAUAUAAAAGUUACCUUUUGCAUAAUGGUUUAAUUAACUUUUAAAAAUUUUUAUUUCCCGAAAUAAAAAGAUCUAAUAAAAAAAAAUAAUCUGUUUUAAAAUAUUAUUUUGAUUUUUUAUUAGGUGUGAAAGGCUAAUCAAUUUUUAUGAUAUCUGGAUAAGAUUAAAUGUAUCUAGUACAGGCUAAAAGCUGAUGAGCCCCCUGUUAAGGGGGGGCUCAUAAAGUAUUUAUAAUUAAUAAAUAUAUUUAGGAUAAUUCUAUAAUAAUUUAUUAUACUUAUAAUUAUUUAUAUUUUA
This 315-nucleotide ribosomal RNA is filed under the name Allenoconcha basispiralis. RNAcentral's name for it is "partial large subunit ribosomal RNA". Lineage: Eukaryota; Metazoa; Mollusca; Gastropoda; Stylommatophora; Microcystidae. The record is from RNAcentral.